Molecule: long non-coding RNA, 1145 nt
Organism: Cicer arietinum (chickpea)
Lineage: Eukaryota; Viridiplantae; Streptophyta; Magnoliopsida; Fabales; Fabaceae
Source: RefSeq, a predicted model, not a curated record
UUCUACCAUCAAGAGAGAUGUUCUCCUCUCCUCCGGUGUGAUACUGCACAAAAACAUCCCUCUCGUUAAGGUUUCAUCCCAACACCGUCUGAGUUAUCUGCAUCUCUUACGGAAAUACUUGUCUUCCCUCAUUUUUUGUGGCUUGUCUUCUUCUUUCUCUUCUUUCAAUUUCCCCUCAUUUCUCUUCCUAUUAUGCUAAUUCUGGAGCCACCAAAUCACAAAUUAUCCUUCAACUACUAACCUUAUCACGAUUUCCUCUCUCUAUUGUUCCUCUUGCUCUCAUGGCUCCACCCCAACUUGCAGACACAACCUCAAAUAAAGAAAAAGUUUCCCUCUGCCUCGCGGAUUCAUCUCCUUCGUUCUUCUUUCUUUUCUUCUUUUGCUUCAAGAAAAAAAACCCAAGGCUUGGUGGGUGGGAAAGAAAAGAUUUUCCAGCUUCCUUCUUCUUCUCUGAUUCGAAAAAUGAAGAAAACUGUGUUAGGGGUUUUCAAAACUGUCAAACACAAAUCUCCACUUUUCUUCGACUUAUGAGCUUCAUUUCGAGAAGUGACAGAAGAGAAAGUUGCUAAUCUCCAUGUUGCGGUGCUAGGGAGCCAACUUUGGAAGCGUCGACGCGAGCGAUGUUUUUACCGAAAUUAAUCGCGGUACCGUAAUCGCUUGUUAAAGCUACCGUUAAGGCUUUGCCCUCAGAUGAGAACCAGAAUCAUCCUACCAGUUAGUAUCCUAGAGAUGAGAAAGUACUUAGACAUACAUGACCAAAGCUGUGUUAGGAGAAUUUUGCAGAGAGCGUGGAGAUCACUCGGGUUGUAUAGUUUUUUUUGUAGCAUGAUCAGAUUAGAUGGUUGUAUAGGGGCUAGAUGUCUUUCUUUUGUGGAUGUAUUUAUUUCGAUUUGGAAGGUUGUACCUAUACCUCAUAUUGUCAGCUUGACUUUUAUUUUGAUGGAUCCUUGUACCAUUUUUGAUGCGGCGUGGGGAAUUUAAAAUUCUUGGGGUAGUGCUUUUGUACGGUUGUCUGCCGAGAAUACCCAAGGAGUAUGAGCUUUGUCAGAUAGGUUUCAUAGCCCCGGUAUACUUUUGUUGUUUAAAUACUUUAGAUUUUUGUUUCAAAAACUAUUUUCGCUGCCUGUAAAUAUUUUUGACUUUUG